This 253-nucleotide ribosomal RNA is filed under the name uncultured bacterium. Its description in RNAcentral is "partial 16S ribosomal RNA". It matches the Rfam family "Bacterial small subunit ribosomal RNA", at positions 524 to 776 of the family's 1533-position model. The record is from RNAcentral.
UACGUAGGGUGCAAGCGUUGUCCGGAAUUAUUGGGCGUAAAGGGCUCGUAGGCGGUCCAUCGCGUCGGGAGUGAAAAGCUGGGGCUUAACCCCAGUCCUGCUUCCGAUACGGGUGGACUAGAGGUAGGUAGGGGAGAUCGGAAUUCCUGGUGUAGCGGUGAAAUGCGCAGAUAUCAGGAGGAACACCGGUGGCGAAGGCGGAUCUCUGGGCCUUGCCUGACGCUGAGGCGCGAAAGCUAGGGGAGCGAACAGG